CGAAACGAACAAGAUCGGUCUGCCGAAUAUUCUGCGAUAACUCUGCAGGGAUGAUUCGUCGAUUAUCGAAACGGCGAUGCAAUUAUUAUGCAAUUAUUAGCCUCCGAACAAUCGAGAAUCCGAGCAAAUUCUCUCGAAUAUACGAAAUUAGUUAUUUUACUAAUGAUAAAAUAAUAAGAUGAAUCGAAUAAAAUAAACCACGUCGACCAAAGUUUACCAAGAACUGUGAACGAUUUCAUAACAUAGAAAUGUUUGGACGGUGGUUCAACGUUGAAGGAAGGCGAACGUUAAAGAAUGAACGAACAAACGUGCAACAGAAAUAUUAAUGUUACGUUUUGCGUUACGUUGUUGCUUUUCAGAGCUAUCGCGUGGAAUUUGUUUCCGCGUAGCUCGCCGAAAAUUCGCGAAAUCCUGCGGCCGUGUUCGCCAUUCGGAUAACGGAGCGCUUCGGAGUAAAGCGAUAGAGAGCGUGCCGUAAUUAUUGAAACGGGUGUGCUCGCGUUUAAUGCGAUCGCCGCGGUAACAAGACGAAACGUUACGAAAGCUUGUAGAAUAACGUUUGACGUAACGCAAGAAAGGAAAAGGAUGAGCCGGCGAUCGGCAACGUUCGUGAAGAGAGAAGGCAAUCCGGCGAAUCGAUUUCUCUGGCCGCAAAGAGUCCGCAAUUAGACGUGUUCGUCCGCGACAGCCGAGCGAUACCGCGGUUGGCUCGCGAAAAUCUGGAACGCCGAUCAUCGGUGAAAUUUUCAUGGAUCGUCGGUCCCGUUGGUCUAGUGCUCCAGUCGAUCGAACGCUGUUCGUCACGCAGCCCGCCAAUUAUUGCCGAAACUAAUUAAUUUCUCCUCCUCGGCCAUCGCUGAUCCGCUUCGAAAGCAAGAAAGUGUGAAGGAGGCUUGCUGAAAAGUCAAGACGCGGAGUCCGCCGAGUGCGACAGGUCGCAGGCGAAUUCGUGCGACGAAAAUCCUGGCACGAAUUUCAUAAUACGAAUAAUGUACGUGGACUUUCACGCGACUCAAUUCACGGAUGCCGUAAAUGCGCGACCACGUUCGUCGGGAAUAGUUCGCGCGGUUUUCCUUCGCGUUCGUCUAGAAAUCAAUUACAACAGGCACUAUAGUUCGUUAUUCCUUCCGUCGUUAUUUCAAGGUAACUCAGUUUUUAGAUCUAUUAAACAAGAAUUAUGCUGGCCAGUGCUGUAGAAGUACAGUGCCGUGCAAAGAUUUUCGCAAUUUAUCCAGUCGUGUUAAAACGAAACCGUGUUACAGGUUGCAACGGUGUACGAGGGUUCCCGGCAAUUUAUCCAAUCGUGUCACAGAAGCGAAACCGUGUUACAGGAUGCCGCGUUGUAGGAUGGGCUACCUGUACCUAAAAUUUCAAGGCCGUCGCUGCGGCGAUCAAAUUUGUACACGACGCGUGUACCAGACCGUUUUAAAGAGAACGAGCGCGCGCGCGCGAGCGGAAUACAACUAUCCGCGAGAGAGAGAGAGAGAGAGAGAGAGAGAGAGAGAGAGAGAGAGAGAGAGAGAGCGUUGCGACAACGACGAGCAUUAUUAUAUUAUGACACACAGCGUUCGAUGUUCCAUUGCGUUGACCCGAUUGGGAAAGAGAGGAGGCUUCUCUCUAUAAUUUUCCACCUGCUAUAUAAUCGGGACGGAUGAAAAUGGCGGUUCAAGGCCUUUGAUCAGAAGCGCCAUUCCAACCCGCGACUCCAACUUUCAUCGUUACGCUAGGCUGCCUUUAUGUACCAAACCGAAGAACUUUUGCGGAAUGGAAAGUUUCGCGAAAACAUAGGAAAUGGAACAUGUAAACAGCUGGGAUGGCCUCUCGGUGGCCUUGAACGGAUUCGCGUUCCUGUUACGACCGUGCUAUUAGAAAAUUACUGUACACCUAGAAACGUGCUAGAAAUUACAGUGAUGUCUCUCUAAUUGACGCCACAGAUU
Molecule: non-coding RNA, 1937 nt
Organism: Megalopta genalis
Lineage: Eukaryota; Metazoa; Arthropoda; Insecta; Hymenoptera; Halictidae
Source: RefSeq, a predicted model, not a curated record